Molecule: long non-coding RNA, 488 nt
Organism: Bos taurus (domestic cattle)
Lineage: Eukaryota; Metazoa; Chordata; Mammalia; Artiodactyla; Bovidae
Source: Ensembl
GGAAAAAGGAGAGGGUCAAAUACCCACAUCCUGCUCCAAGCAGCAGAACCUCCAAGAAGCCAAGCAGGCCCAAGGGGGCAGGAAACUCCCCUGAGUGUGCGUGCACCCCUCAGCCAAGAUGGAUCUUGAAGUGAAGGCUUCUGGGAGGAACAAGACUCAUGGACUGGCAUUAUCGCCUGACUUUUGACCCACAAGGAGAAUUUACGAAUUGAUACUGAGGCCAUCUGACGUGAAAUGACUUGGCUGAAGCCACACAAGGAAUGGGAAGACAGAGCUAGGACUGGAACCCAGAUUUCUUGUUUCCUGGACAACUGCUGUAUUCCUGCACUCUGCCAGCUGCCUCUGUAAUUGUGAAUGUACGCACGGAGAAGCCUGGUGGGCUACAGUCCAUAAGGUCACAAAGAGCCAGACACGACUGAGUGACUGAGCACAGCAUGCAUGCACAAUCCCUUUAACUGAAAAUGCUAGGAAGAUGUGUGGCUCUUGGG